This 332-nucleotide ribosomal RNA is filed under the name uncultured bacterium. RNAcentral describes it as "bacterial SSU rRNA". It matches the Rfam family "Bacterial small subunit ribosomal RNA", at positions 568 to 898 of the family's 1533-position model. The record is from RNAcentral.
CGUGUAGGCGGUCGGGUAAGUGGAAUGUGAAAUGCCCCGGCUCACCCGGGGAUCUGCAUCCCAAACUGCCCGGCUUGAGUAUGGGAGAGGAUGGAGGAAUUCCUGGUGUAGCGGUGAAAUGCGUAGAUAUCAGGAGGAACACCGGUGGCGAAGGCGUCCAUCUGGCCCAAUACUGACGCUGAGGCGCGAAAGCUAGGGGAGCGAACGGGAUUAGAUACCCCGGUAGUCCUAGCCGUAAACGGUGAUCACUAGGUGUUGGGGGCAUCGACCCCUCCAGUGCCGCAGCUAACGCAUUAAGUGAUCCGCCUGGGGAGUACGGCCGCAAGCUUAAA